AUUGAACGCUGGCGGCAUGCUUUACACAUGCAAGUCGAACGGUAACAGGCCGCAAGGUGCUGACGAGUGGCGAACGGGUGAGUAAUGCAUCGGAACGUGCCCAGUCGUGGGGAUAACGCAGCGAAAGCUGUGCUAAUACCGCAUACGAUCUAUGGAUGAAAGCGGGGGACCGUAAGGCCUCGCGCGAUUGGAGCGGCCGAUGUCAGAUUAGGUAGUUGGUGGGGUAAAGGCCCACCAAGCCAACGAUCUGUAGCUGGUCUGAGAGGACGACCAGCCACACUGGGACUGAGACACGGCCCAGACUCCUACGGGAGGCAGCAGUGGGGAAUUUUGGACAAUGGGCGCAAGCCUGACCCAGCAAUGCCGCGUGCAGGAAGAAGGCCUUCGGGUUGUAAACUGCUUUUGUACGGAACGAAACGGUGAGCUCUAAUACAGUUUGCUAAUGACGGUACCGUAAGAAUAAGCACCGGCUAACUACGUGCCAGCCGCCGCCGUAA
RNAcentral lists this ribosomal RNA (497 nucleotides) under uncultured bacterium. RNAcentral describes it as "partial 16S ribosomal RNA". It matches the Rfam family "Bacterial small subunit ribosomal RNA", at positions 30 to 523 of the family's 1533-position model. The record is from RNAcentral.